Molecule: ribosomal RNA, 419 nt
Filed under: uncultured bacterium
Lineage: Bacteria
Description: bacterial SSU rRNA
Rfam family: Bacterial small subunit ribosomal RNA
Source: RNAcentral
GAGUUUGAUCAUGGCUCAGGACGAACGCUGGCGGCGUGCUUAACACAUGCAAGUCGAGCGGGGUCCAACCAGUGGCAACACUGGGGAAGACCUAGCGGGCGAACGGGUGAGUAACACGUGAGGAACCUGCCCCGAAGUCUGGGAUAACCCGAGGAAACUCGAGCUAAUACCGGAUGUCUUCUUCUGAUCGCAUGGUUAGUUGAAGAAAGAAUUUCGCUUCGGGAGGGCCUCGCGGCCUAUCAGCUUGUUGGUGGGGUAACGGCCCACCAAGGCGUCGACGGGUAGCUGGUCUGAGAGGACGAUCAGCCACACUGGGACUGAGACACGGCCCAGACUCCUACGGGAGGCAGCAGUGGGGAAUAUUGCGCAAUGGGCGAAAGCCUGACGCAGCAACGCCGCGUGCGGGAUGAAGGCCUCGG